ACGGGGCGCAGCAGGCGCGAAAUCUUCACAAUGUGCGAAAGCACGAUGAGGGGAUCCCAAGUGUUGGUUCGUAAGAAUCAUCUGUUUCUUUGUCUAAAAAACAGAGAGAGUAAGAGCUGGGUAAGACGGGUGCCAGCCGCCGCGGUAAUACCUGCAGCUCAAGUGGUGGCCGCUAUUAUUGGGCCUAAAACGUCCGUAGCCGGUUUAGUAAAUGCUUGGGUAAAUUGUGUAGCUCAACUAUACGAAUACCGAGUAGACUGCUGAACUUGGGACCGGGAGAGGCUAGAGGUACUCCUAGGGUAGAGGUGAAAUUCUGUAAUCCUAGGGGGACCACCAGUGGCGAAGGCGUCUAGCUAGAACGGGUCUGACGGUGAGGGACGAAGCCCUGGGGCGCAAACCGGAUUAGAUACCCGGGUAGUCCAGGGUGUAAACGCUGCUCGCUUGAUGUUAGUUGGGCUCCGAGCCCAGCUAGUGUCGGAGAGAAGUUGUUAAGCGAGCUGCCUGGGAAGUACGGUCGCAAGGCUGAAACUUAAAGGAAUUGGCGGGGGAGCACAGCGACGGGUGGAGCGUGCGGUUUAAUUGGAUUCAACGCCGGAAAUCUCACCGGAGGCGACGGUUAUAUGAAGGCCAGGCUGAUGACCUUGCCUGAUUUUCCGAGAAGUGGUGCAUGGCCGUCGUCAGUUCGUACCGUGAGGCGUUCUGUUAAGUCAGACAACGAACGAGACCCUCAUCUUUAGUUGCUACUGGUAAGUCCGCUUAUCAG
This 763-nucleotide ribosomal RNA is filed under the name uncultured archaeon. RNAcentral describes it as "bacterial SSU rRNA". It matches the Rfam family "Archaeal small subunit ribosomal RNA", at positions 325 to 1090 of the family's 1478-position model. The record is from RNAcentral.